RNAcentral lists this ribosomal RNA (28 nucleotides) under Acer palmatum subsp. palmatum. RNAcentral's name for it is "partial 25S ribosomal RNA". The record is from RNAcentral. Lineage: Eukaryota; Viridiplantae; Streptophyta; Magnoliopsida; Sapindales; Sapindaceae.
GACCCCAGGUCAGCGGGAUUACCGCUGA